AAAUGUGAAUGAUGAGAACAAGAAAUAUACAGUUAUCCCUGUCUGAUCUUUUGACUGCUGAUGUUUCUUACAUCUGACGCUUUU
Molecule: small nucleolar RNA, 84 nt
Organism: Vitis vinifera (wine grape)
Lineage: Eukaryota; Viridiplantae; Streptophyta; Magnoliopsida; Vitales; Vitaceae
Rfam family: Small nucleolar RNA R38
About the family: snoR38 is a C/D box small nucleolar RNA conserved across yeast, human, Arabidopsis and rice.
Source: Rfam